This is a non-coding RNA of Cinara cedri, 498 nucleotides long. The record is from the annotation of a GenBank genome assembly. Lineage: Eukaryota; Metazoa; Arthropoda; Insecta; Hemiptera; Aphididae.
ACUGCGAACACCCGUUUUCGGUUUUCCGCGUUCCGCCGCCGCCGGUCACCACGCCGCCGGUAAUUCGAGUUUCAUACCGUUUUUUUUUUUUUCUUUGAUUUUCCGCCUUUUUUUUUUUUCAAAACGUCCGUUCCCGUUUCCCGGCGAUUCCGGCGUAAGCGUAUUGUAUCGUUUUCGGCGGCGAUGUACCGCAAUAGGUAGUGGCGGUUCGUCUGUCCCGUGCGCGGGGUCGCGUUGUUUUUCGCCGCUGUCUCAAAGCCGAUACGUGCGUUCUCGCGUUAUAAUAAUUUUUGUUUUUUUCAUAGUUUCGAUAUAAACGCGUGCCUGAUCAUAUAAAUAAUAUCGGUUUACGUACUUCGGAAACGGAAAAAAAAACCCCCCGUCGAUAGCGUAAUAAUUAAUAAUUGAUUGUGCGACCGAUGGAAAACGGAACGAUUUUUACCGGAAAUAUCGCGACGACACGAGCGUAGAAAAAAAAAAACACCAACGACAAUAUUG